RNA transcript from Manis pentadactyla (Chinese pangolin), 1797 nucleotides. It is a transcript of the gene named prostaglandin E synthase 3, with no coding region annotated. The record is from RefSeq and is a predicted model, not a curated record. Lineage: Eukaryota; Metazoa; Chordata; Mammalia; Pholidota; Manidae. The transcript has 9 exons.
CUCAGCGCUGCUCGCCUGCACGCACGCACGCACGCUCGUCCUCUGUCCUCGCGCCCCUUUUCUUACACUUCUCUCCUCCCCGGCCUGAGGAGCCGCUCUCGGCGCGGUGCAUUGUGGGAGCCCAGGUCGAGUGCGCCGUCGCCUGAGGGAAGCGAGAAGAGGCCGUGACCGCGGAGAAAGCUCCGCAGUCGUCACCGGAGAGGAGUCGACUGCCCCAUAGUUGUCGCCGGAGAGGCCUGCCCACGCGUUCACCCGUCCCCCUGCCCGGUUUGCGAUGCAGCCUGCUUCUGCAAAGUGGUAUGAUCGAAGGGACUAUGUCUUCAUUGAAUUUUGUGUUGAAGACAGUAAGGAUGUUAAUGUAAAUUUUGAAAAAUCCAAACUUACAUUCAGUUGUCUUGGAGGAAGUGAUAAUUUUAAACAUUUAAAUGAAAUCGAUCUUUUUCACUGUAUUGAUCCAAAUGAUUCUAAGCAUAAAAGAACUGACAGAUCAAUUUUAUGUUGUUUAAGAAAAGGAGAAUCUGGCCAGUCGUGGCCAAGGUUAACAAAAGAAAGGGCAAAGCUUAAUUGGCUUAGUGUGGACUUCAAUAAUUGGAAAGACUGGGAAGAUGAUUCAGAUGAAGAUAUGUCUAAUUUUGAUCGUUUCUCUGAGGUACCAGAGGAAACCACUAUUCAGGAUUUUGGCAUUUAAUUUCUGCACUGUACACAGAUACCUUGUUAGAUAAAUUUUAGUGGCUUCACUUUUCUUCGAUGAAAACAGUCUAAACUUCCCUAUAUAUUUUCAGGAUUUUAUGUAAUUACCUCAAUCUACCUUUUCCAGAAAGGAAGAUGAUGAACAACAUGGGUGGUGACGAGGAUGUAGAUUUACCAGAAGUAGAUGGAGCAGAUGACGAUUCACAAGACAGUGACGAUGAAAAAAUGCCAGACCUGGAGUAAGGAAUGUUGUCAACGAAUUUUGAGAAAGAAAAAUAACUUCUGCAAGAUUUCGUAAUUGAGAGAACUCCCAAGUUGAUAGCUCUAAAGGCAGAUGUUGUAUUUGCCUCCUUUAACCCAUUUUUCAACCUGUUUGUUUUUUUUAACGGCUUCACUAAGGGUUGAUAUGUACCAUUGUAUGGGGCAAUUUUAAGUCAGCUAAGGCAGUAAGUAACCUUUCACAUGAACAUUUCCCAGACUUCCAUGAUGCUAUUGAGGUCCAGGCAAUUGAGAACAGCAGUUGUGAUUAAAAACAUUUCAACUCAGUCUCCUUUACUUCAUAAUAUAGAUACUGACAUGAUAGGAAGUGCCCAGAUUAAAGAAAGAUAAUUAUAUUUUAGAUCUUGGAACAUGGGCUCAAAGUGACUGAAAACAGAUCACUUGAACUGGUAACCUGUUAUUCCUCUGCUAUAUCCCUCAGGAUUAUUCCACUAAAGUUUUAUUUUUCAAAAAAUUUACUUCACAUAACUACACAAGUGAUAACUUGUCAGUGUUUCAGAUACAUCUUAGCUAAAACUAGUGAAUGUCCUAACUUAGAUGGUUUUUUGAAGCCUGUGCAUUUGGUAUUGUUUGACCCUUAAACUUUUACAUCUCUUAGCAUGGAGGACGAAGAAAAGCUGUACAUUGUUGCUUGAGAGUCUACAUUUAGACCAAAUUUGUAUUUACACUGUCAGUAUGGCAAAUGAGUGAAAAAAAUGUUAAUACACUAUUGGAUUUUUUUCUUUUUUUGAUUCAGCUGUCCCAGGGCUGAAAACCUCAAUUUAUGUUCAUGACAGUGGGGAUUUUUUUUAAUGUCUACAUUCUUUCUAAUAAACUGUUGGAAGACUU